RNAcentral lists this ribosomal RNA (654 nucleotides) under uncultured archaeon. RNAcentral describes it as "bacterial SSU rRNA". It matches the Rfam family "Archaeal small subunit ribosomal RNA", at positions 508 to 1160 of the family's 1478-position model. The record is from RNAcentral.
GCCUAAAGCGUCCGUAGCCUGAUCUAUAAGUUUCCGGUUAAAUCCACAUGCUCAACAUUUGGGCUGCCGGAAAAACUGUAGAUCUAGGGAGUGGGAGAGGUAGACGGUACUCGAUAGGAAGGGGUAAAAUCCUUUGAUCUAUUGAUGACCACCAGUGGCGAAGGCGGUCUACCAGAACACGUUCGACGGUGAGGGAUGAAAGCUGGGGGAGCAAACCGGAUUAGAUACCCGGGUAGUCCCAGCUGUAAACGAUGCAGACUCGGUGAUGCAUUGGCUUGUGGCCAGUGCAGUGCCGCAGGGAAGCCGUUAAGUUUGCCGCCUGGGAAGUACGUACGCAAGUAUGAAACUUAAAGGAAUUGGCGGGGGAGCACCACAAGGGGUGAAGCCUGCGGUUCAAUUGGAGUCAACGCCAGAAAUCUUACCCGGAGAGACAGCAGAAUGAAGGUCAAGCUGGAGACUUUACCAGACAAGCUGAGAAGUGGUGCAUGGCCGUCGCCAGCUCGUGCCGUGAGAUGUCCUGUUAAGUCAGGUAACGAGCGAGAUCCCUGCCUCUAGUUGCCACCAUUACUCUCAGGAGUAGUGGGGCGAAUUAGCGGGACCGCCGCAGUUAAUGCGGAGGAAGGAAAGGGCUACGGCAGGUCAGUAUGCCCCGAA